CUCCCUUCAACUGAUCCGCCACCUUAGUUGUCUCAAGCUAUCUCUUCUCAAAAAUAUCCAAACUUUGGGAUAAAUUGCUGAUCUGCUGGCUUAAUGAAUUAAAAAGUCUCUCAGUGGAUAUUUUUUGCUCAUCAAGACUCUAUGAUAUGUACUGUUAAAGAGCUGAAGAGUCAGUCCGCUGAUCUGUAAUGGGUCUAUGGUCCACAACUCACUCGAAGCUCUCAAGCCUCAGUGUGAUUUUGAGCAAAUCUCCAUGGAGCUGCUGGAUCAAGGACUGAAUGUGCUCCUGAGAUAUCUCUUGACUCUAUAAAAUUUGAGUCUUGAAAUUCUAAAAUAUCCUUCCCAUCCUAUCAAAUAUCUGAUCAAGAAAUCCCUCUGUAGAUACUGUGUGGGGCACGUGAGGUGUACGAGGGAAAGUUGGAUGAUGGUCAUCAGCCACUAAUGCAGGGGUCGGAAUAGGAGGAGGGGACUGUGGAGCAUCCACUGG
Molecule: long non-coding RNA, 487 nt
Filed under: Elaeis guineensis (African oil palm)
Lineage: Eukaryota; Viridiplantae; Streptophyta; Magnoliopsida; Arecales; Arecaceae
Description: long non-coding RNA (EGUI_LNC020033)
Source: RNAcentral